Molecule: ribosomal RNA, 253 nt
Filed under: uncultured bacterium
Lineage: Bacteria
Description: partial 16S ribosomal RNA
Rfam family: Bacterial small subunit ribosomal RNA
Source: RNAcentral
UACGGAGGAUGCAAGCGUUAUCCGGAAUGAUUGGGCGUAAAGCGUCCGCAGGUGGCAAUGUAAGUCUGCUGUCAAAGCGUCUGGCUCAACCAGAUAAAGGCAGUGGAAACUACAUAGCUAGAGUAAGGUAGGGGUAGAGGGAAUUCCUGGUGUAGCGGUGAAAUGCGUAGAGAUCGGGAAGAACAUCGGUGGCGAAAGCGGCGCUCUGGGCCGGUACUGACGCUGAGGAGCGAAAGCGUGGGUAGCAAACAGG